AAGAGGUAGGAGCGGUGAUGAUGGCGGCUGUGGAGGGUGGCUCCUGGUGUCUCAGGUACCUUAGCUAAUUUCUCUGUAGCAUUGGUUUAAAAUUUAAUGUUUGUUUUUUCCCCCAACAUUUAAUUUGUAGAUAUUCAGAUUUCACACACUAAUUGUCCCAAAUGUAUUUUUAUAUUUGUUUCUUUUAUUUUACAGUUGAGGGCCCUGUUUAGGUCUAUACGAUAUAUUUAAUCAUUACGUCUCUGUGAUCUCUCUUAAUCUAGAGCACUCUCUCUGCCCUUUUAAGAGAAAAAGCCAGAGCCAUUGAAACUAGAGGCACAGAACAUCAGGACACAGGACAUCUGGAGGAACAAGGAACUGGGAGAAGUGGCAGAUUGGGAGAAGGCAAAUAAAAAGGUCAAAUGAUGAAGCUCACAAUCUGCUUUUGGCCCAGGAGAUAAUGCCCUUAUCUAAAGGCUAAACGUUUUCUUGGGAUGAAUGGAUCAGUCCUGAGUCCAAAAUUCCAUGACUGCCUUAGAAGAUAG
This 524-nucleotide long non-coding RNA is filed under the name Suricata suricatta (meerkat). RNAcentral's name for it is "lncRNA (ENSSSUG00005002686.1)". Lineage: Eukaryota; Metazoa; Chordata; Mammalia; Carnivora; Herpestidae. The record is from RNAcentral.